RNAcentral lists this ribosomal RNA (689 nucleotides) under Micrococcus sp. MMRF728. RNAcentral describes it as "bacterial SSU rRNA". It matches the Rfam family "Bacterial small subunit ribosomal RNA", at positions 340 to 1039 of the family's 1533-position model. Lineage: Bacteria; Bacillati; Actinomycetota; Actinomycetes; Micrococcales; Micrococcaceae. The record is from RNAcentral.
UACGGGAGGCAGCAGUGGGGAAUAUUGCACAAUGGGCGCAAGCCUGAUGCAGCGACGCCGCGUGAGGGAUGACGGCCUUCGGGUUGUAAACCUCUUUCAGUAGGGAAGAAGCGAAAGUGACGGUACCUGCAGAAGAAGCACCGGCUAACUACGUGCCAGCAGCCGCGGUAAUACGUAGGGUGCGAGCGUUAUCCGGAAUUAUUGGGCGUAAAGAGCUCGUAGGCGGUUUGUCGCGUCUGUCGUGAAAGUCCGGGGCUUAACCCCGGAUCUGCGGUGGGUACGGGCAGACUAGAGUGCAGUAGGGGAGACUGGAAUUCCUGGUGUAGCGGUGGAAUGCGCAGAUAUCAGGAGGAACACCGAUGGCGAAGGCAGGUCUCUGGGCUGUAACUGACGCUGAGGAGCGAAAGCAUGGGGAGCGAACAGGAUUAGAUACCCUGGUAGUCCAUGCCGUAAACGUUGGGCACUAGGUGUGGGGACCAUUCCACGGUUUCCGCGCCGCAGCUAACGCAUUAAGUGCCCCGCCUGGGGAGUACGGCCGCAAGGCUAAAACUCAAAGGAAUUGACGGGGGCCCGCACAAGCGGCGGAGCAUGCGGAUUAAUUCGAUGCAACGCGAAGAACCUUACCAAGGCUUGACAUGUUCUCGAUCGCCGUAGAGAUACGGUUUCCCCUUUGGGGCGGGUUCACAGGU